RNAcentral lists this unclassified non-coding RNA (229 nucleotides) under plant metagenome. RNAcentral's name for it is "partial contains small subunit ribosomal RNA, internal transcribed spacer 1, and 5.8S ribosomal RNA". The record is from RNAcentral.
UCUCCGUAGGUGAACCUGCGGAGGGAUCAUUACAGAGUUUUUGCCCGCAAGGGUAGAUCUCCCACCCUAUGUUAUUCCUUCUCUGUUGCUUUGGCGGGCCGUCCGGCCUCGGUCAGGCCACCGGCUCCGGCUGGUGCGCGCCCGCCAGAGGACCCCAAACCCUAAAUGUUAGUGUCGUCUGAGUACUAUAUAAUAGUUAAAACUUUCAACAACGGAUCUCUUGGUUCUG